This 433-nucleotide ribosomal RNA is filed under the name uncultured bacterium. RNAcentral's name for it is "partial 16S ribosomal RNA". It matches the Rfam family "Bacterial small subunit ribosomal RNA", at positions 29 to 507 of the family's 1533-position model. The record is from RNAcentral.
AACGAACGCUGGCGGCAUGCCUAACACAUGCAAGUCGAACGAGACCUUCGGGUCUAGUGGCGCACGGGUGCGUAACGCGUGGGAACCUGCCCUUAGGUUCAGAAUAACUCCCCGAAAGGGGUGCUAAUACCGGAUAAUGUCUUCGGACCAAAGAUUUAUCGCCUUUGGAUGGGCCCGCGUUGGAUUAGCUAGUUGGUAGGGUAAAAGCCUACCAAGGCGACGAUCCAUAGCUGGUCUGAGAGGAUGCUCAGCCACACUGGGACUGAGACACGGCCCAGACUCCUACGGGAGGCAGCAGUGGGGAAUAUUGGACGAUGGGCGAAGGCCUGAUCCAGCAAUGCCGCGUGAGUGAUGAAGGCCUUAGGGUUGUAAAGCUCUUUUACCCGGGAUGAUAAUGACAGUACCGGGAGAAUAAGCUCCGGCUAACUCCGUG